GAGUUUGAUCCUGGCUCAGGACGAACGCUGGCGGCGUGCUUAACACAUGCAAGUCGAACGAUGAAGCUGGAGCUUGCUCCGGUGGAUUAGUGGCGAACGGGUGAGUAACACGUGAGAAAUCUGCCCCUGACUCUGGGAUAACUGCGGGAAACUGUAGCUAAUACCGGAUACCUUCCCUGGUGGGCAUCCACCGGGGAAGAAAGAAUUUCGGUCAGGGAGGAUCUCGCGGCCUAUCAGCUAGUUGGUGAGGUAACGGCUCACCAAGGCGACGACGGGUAACCGGCCAGAGAGGGUGACCGGUCACACUGGGACUGAGACACGGCCCAGACUCCUACGGGAGGCAGCAGUGGGGAAUAUUGCACAAUGGGCGCAAGCCUGAUGCAGCAACGCCGCGUGAGGGAUGAAGGCCUUCGGGUUGUAAACCUCUUUUAGCAGGGAAGAAGCGAAAGUGACGGUACCUGCAGAAAAAGCACCGGCUAACUACGUGCCAGCAGCCGCGGUAAUACGUAGGGUGCGAGCGUUGUCCGGAAUUAUUGGGCGUAAAGAGCUCGUAGGCGGUUUGUCACGUCUGCUGUGAAAAUCCAAGGCUCAACCUUGGACUUGCAGUGGGUACGGGCAGGCUAGAGUGCGGUAGGGGAGAUGGGAAUUCCUGGUGUAGCGGUGGAAUGCGCAGAUAUCAGGAGGAACACCAAUGGCGAAGGCACAUCUCUGGGCCGUAACUGACGCUGAGGAGCGAAAGCGUGGGGAGCGAACAGGAUUAGAUACCCUGGUAGUCCACGCCGUAAACGGUGGGUGCUAGCUGUGGGCCACAUUCCACGUGGUCCGUGACGAAGUUAACACAUUAAGCACCCCGCCUGGGGAGUACGGCCGCAAGGCUAAAACUCAAAGGAAUUGACGGGGGCCCGCACAAGCGGCGGAGCAUGCGGAUUAAUUCGAUGCAACGCGAAGAACCUUACCAAGGCUUGACAUAUAGAGGAAAAGUGCAGAAAUGCACUC
Molecule: ribosomal RNA, 996 nt
Filed under: uncultured bacterium
Lineage: Bacteria
Description: bacterial SSU rRNA
Rfam family: Bacterial small subunit ribosomal RNA
Source: RNAcentral